Long non-coding RNA from Bombus huntii, 1750 nucleotides. RefSeq lists it as uncharacterized. The transcript has 2 exons. Lineage: Eukaryota; Metazoa; Arthropoda; Insecta; Hymenoptera; Apidae. The record is from RefSeq and is a predicted model, not a curated record.
CGUAUAUUUAAUACCAGAAUUCGUUAUGCAAUGCUUUCGAUGUCUUUUGUGAUACAUGUAUAGUGGCUCGCGGAAAUGUCCGAAUAUGUACUUGCUAUGGAACCUUUUAUGUAUUGUUUGUGCUAUAUAAAACAUUUUCGAAUUUCAUCAAUAGUAUAAUUAGUAGACUGCUGAUUUUUAUAUAAAUUCAUAUUUUCAUGAAUACAAUUAAAAGAGUAGGAUCUGAGUAGAGAUCUGGUUUACCUGUUAAAUAUCAUAAACAGUACUAUACACAAAAACAAUACUGUAUCUUUAUACGUUUAUAUGUUUUGUAUGCUUUUGUAUGUGUUGCGUAUCAUAACGUUGCAUAUCAUUACGUAUUUUUGUAUCUUAAAAUUACUGAUAAUUGCAUAAAAAUCAGCAAUAAAAAACUACUGUUACAAUAUAUUCAUUUUCAAACUGUUUCGUAUAACACACAUAAUACAUUCAUGAAAAGUUUCUAUAAGUAUUUACUUUCGCGAGCUACUAUAUUUCUGUGUGUUCUCAGUAUUUGUCAGUGUCCGCAUGUAAAUGUAAACAAGUAUUUAUUGUCCUAUGGGUAUUUAUUAUCGCGUGUAUCAAGUGGUAAAUUGGUGGCAAAAUUUUGGGAUCGUGUUUAAUUUUAUAUGCAGGUUAAAUUACGCUAUAAAUAUGAUAAUGUAUAAUAGACGUUUGUGUUAUAUUACAGAUAUUUUGGUUCAAACUUUGGAUUAUUAAACCUCUACUUUUCUUCCGUCUCGACGAAUAAAAAAAUUUUGAAUAUCUCAUUAUCUAUCAACUUUCAUAAAUUUGGAAAGUUUUUAAUGAUAAGAAAUACGAUUGUGCCACAGGACGUAAUGAGGUUAGGAAGUAUAACAUGCGUACCUCUACAACUUGAGAUGAAAACGUCCGCAAAUCCAUAACCUUCACGUGACCCGUUUUCAUCAGUAGAACCGAAACACGCUGUAAAAUUUGGCCACCUAUUUCCAAACGGAUCUUUUGUACAGACUACUUUAUUCUGUAUCACAAUUCCUCUCCAGUCAUCGAGCAAUCUCUCUUUCUCCCUUCCUGCUGUUCUCUUCAAAGUACGUAACACUUUCCACUUAUCGUCCAUUUGUAUGUUGCCUAAAUGUUACACAUAAAAUACCUUUAAAAGGACGAAGGAAAAGUGAAAGAAAAAAGGAAGAAAAGAGGAGGGAUAGAAUAGAAGAAAAAAAUUCGAGUCAAGACCGAAGGUCGAAGAUGUUGAAAAAUUUAGCAAGCUGACCACCAAAGGAGCGCUCGGAAGCCGGUAUUCAGAGCGCAGUGAGGUUACAAGCCGCUCGAGAAGGCGAAAACGGUCUUUCAACGAAAGUAGAGUAGCGCAUCCGUGUCAAGGUUAUUCCGCGAUAGAGAUUCCAAGCUGUCGGCCCAGUAGAUUCUAAGUUUGCAAUCAAUAUCGAAAUACGCGGUGACGCGUCGAUAUCGAAGAAACCCCGCCGGUUACAUUCGACCGACAAUUCUUUUGCCUCUUUUAAAUAAAUCUCGGCUUUCGGUGUCGUUAAAAAUCUCACUUUUACGGUUGCGAUAGAUUUUACAGAUAAACGUUGGCAUUAGACUAUGGUUACAGUGGAUGUGUGUUCUGAUCUCAAUAUAUCAAAUAUGAAGACCAUGAGGGACCAAUAUAAUAAGUCUAGCUUCUUUGUUUUUUUUUAUUUUUAUGUUACAUAAUGUUAAGCAGAAAAUAUUUUAAUAUGGAAAGAAAACAACUUGU